CCAUUUUAUUCAUCAUAAACCUCAUGUUAACCACUAAUCAUUCAUUUCUUCCAUCACUCGACAUGAUUGUUGUGAGUUGCAAGAUGUGCAUAAAGCUAAGUUUGGGGUGGUAAUCUUGAAAGAUAGGGCAAGUGCAUAAUAAGAGAUCAUACAAAAAGAAAAGAUUUGUGUAUGUCCAAAAAGAAAAAAAAAGAAACAAAAGAGAAAAAUGCACUUGCCGAGACUUAAGACUCUAACACCUAUAAAAUGCUCGCAAAGAAUUGAGUAGAAAAAAGAGUCAAAAGAGUGAAAUUAACCCCCAGAGUAUAAGUGAUGCACUAGAAAAAAGAGAAAGAAAAAUCACACAACAUGAAUGCCGAGUUCAAAACCUUUUGUUAUCCAUUUUUGUGUUUAUCCCACCGUACCCAAGCC
This 411-nucleotide long non-coding RNA is filed under the name Lathyrus oleraceus (garden pea). RNAcentral's name for it is "Pisum sativum (pea) long non-coding RNA (PSAT_LNC036886)". The record is from RNAcentral. Lineage: Eukaryota; Viridiplantae; Streptophyta; Magnoliopsida; Fabales; Fabaceae.